This 73-nucleotide transfer RNA is filed under the name Clonorchis sinensis. It matches the Rfam family "tRNA". From Rfam's summary of the family: Transfer RNA (tRNA) molecules are approximately 80 nucleotides in length. Lineage: Eukaryota; Metazoa; Platyhelminthes; Trematoda; Opisthorchiida; Opisthorchiidae. The record is from Rfam by way of RNAcentral.
GCCCGGAUAGCUCAGUCGGUAGAGCAUCAGACUUUUAAUCUGAGGGUUCAGGGUUCGAGCCCCUGUUCGGGCG